Long non-coding RNA from Cyanistes caeruleus (blue tit), 1726 nucleotides. NCBI's taxonomy places the organism in Eukaryota, Metazoa, Chordata, Aves, Passeriformes, Paridae. The record is from Ensembl.
CCCCGAGGUGUCCCUCAUGUCCCCGAGGUGUUCCUCACGUCCCUGAGAUGUCCCUGAGGUGUCCCUGAGAUGUCCCCGAGGUGUCCCCCAUGCCCCUGAGAUGUUCCUCACGUCCCUGAGAUGUCCCUGAGGUGUCCCCAGCAUGUCCCCGUCCCCGCAGGCCUUCAGCCGCGCCCACCGCAUCGGCCAGGCCAACAAGGUGAUGAUUUACCGCUUCGUGACGCGGGCGUCGGUGGAGGAGAGGAUCACGCAGGUGGCCAAGCGCAAGAUGAUGCUGACGCACCUGGUGGUGCGCCCGGGGCUGGGCUCCAAGGCCGGCUCCAUGUCCAAGCAGGAGCUGGACGACAUCCUCAAGUUCGGCACCGAGGAGCUCUUCAAGGACGAGAACGAGGGGGACAACAAGGAGGAGGACAGCAGCGUCAUCCACUACGACAACGAGGCCAUCGCGCGGCUGCUGGACCGGAACCAGGACGCCACCGACGACGCCGACGUGCAGAACAUGAACGAGUACCUGAGCUCCUUCAAGGUGGCCCAGUACGUCGUCAGGGAGGAGGACAAGGUGUGCCGGGGACACCGGGCUGGGCCGGAGAGCAGGAGGUGUCGGGAGGGUGGAGAUGGUGGGGGUGGUGGGACAGUGGAGGUGAUGAUGGUGAUGGUGAAGGUGGGGAUGAUGGUGACGGUGAUGAUGACGAUGUGAUGAUGACAAUGAUGAUGAUGACAAUGAUGAUGAUGACAAUGAUGAUAAUGAUGAUGGUGGAGACCAUGAUGAAGAUGACGAUGGAGAUGAGGAUGAUGAUGAUGAUGGAGAUGAUGAUGAUGAUGAUGAUGAUGAUGGAGAUGAUGAUGACAAUGAUGAUGAUGAUGAUGAUGAUGAUGAUGACAAUGAUGAUGAUGAUGGAGAUGAUGGAGAUGAUGAUGAUGGAGAUGAUGAUGAUGAUGAUGACAAUGAUGAUGAUGAUGAUGGAGAUGAUGAUGAUGAUAAUGAUGGAGAUGAUGAUGAUGAUGAUGACAAUGAUGAUGAUGAUGAUGGAGAUGAUGGAGAUGAUGAUGAUGGAGAUGAUGGAGAUGAUGAUGAUGGAGAUGGUGAUGAUGGAGAUGAUGAUGAUGAUGGAGAUGAUGAUGAUGAUGGAGAUGAUGAUGAGGAUAGCAUAGAUGAUGAUGGAGACAAUGAUGAUGGAGAUGAUGAUGAUGGAGAUGAUGAUGAUGACAAUGAUGAUGAUGAUGAUGGAGAUGAUGAUGGAGAUGAUGAUGAUGGAGAUGAUGAUAAUGAUGACAACGAUGAUGAUGAUGAUGGUAGAGAUGACAAUUAGGAUGAAGAUGGUGAUGACGAUGGAGAUAAAUGAUGGAGAUGAUGAUGGAGAUGAUGGAGAUGAUGAUGAUGGAGAUGAUGAUGAUGAUGAUGAUGGAGAUGAUGAUGAGGAUAGCAUAGAUGAUGAUGGAGACAAUGAUGAUGGAGAUGAUGAUGACAAUGAUGGAGACAACCACCACAAGAACACCAGCACUGGGGUCACCAUACCCCGCAUUGACCCCAGCCCCUGGCUGACCCCUGAGUGACCCCAGAGUGACCCCUGGCUGACCCCUGGGUGACCUUCCGGUGUCCCCCGGCUGUCCCGCAGAUCGAGGAGAUCGAGCGCGAGAUCAUCAAGCAGGAGGAGAACGUGGACCCCGACUAUUGGGAGAAGCUCCUGCGGCACCACUACGAGCAGCAGCAGGAGGACCUGGCCAG